RNAcentral lists this ribosomal RNA (532 nucleotides) under uncultured bacterium. RNAcentral describes it as "bacterial SSU rRNA". It matches the Rfam family "Bacterial small subunit ribosomal RNA", at positions 777 to 1308 of the family's 1533-position model. The record is from RNAcentral.
AAUAGAUACCCGGGUAGUCCACGCCGUAAACGAUGAGUGCUAGGUGUUAGGGGGUUUCCGCCCCUUAGUGCUGCAGCUAACGCAUUAAGCACUCCGCCUGGGGAGUACGGUCGCAAGACUGAAACUCAAAGGAAUUGACGGGGGCCCGCACAAGCGGUGGAGCAUGUGGUUUAAUUCGAAGCAACGCGAAGAACCUUACCAGGUCUUGACAUCCCGCUGACCGCCAUGGAGACAUGGCCUUCCCUUCGGGGACAGCGGUGACAGGUGGUGCAUGGUUGUCGUCAGCUCGUGUCGUGAGAUGUUGGGUUAAGUCCCGCAACGAGCGCAACCCUUGUCCUUAGUUGCCAUCAUUCAGUUGGGCACUCUAAGGAGACUGCCGUACAAAUACGGAGGAAGGUGGGGAUGACGUCAAAUCAUCAUGCCCCUUAUGACCUGGGCUACACACGUGCUACAAUGGGUGGUACAAAGGGUCAGCAAACCCGCGAGGGGAGCGAAUCCCAAAAAGCCACUCUCAGUUCGGAUUGCAGGCUGC